UCAAGAAUUCUGCAUACAGUAGCACGUUUGUAUGAAGGUGUGGUUAUUCACAGGCAAAUUGUAAUAUGCUAUGGAGGUACAUUAGUAUCUUUUUGUCGAGAGCAAAAUGUUUUAUUUUCAAUCAAAAAAUCUGUUCUGAAAGCAACUUUUUUUUCCAACACAAAGGAAGUCAUAGCGGACACCUACGAAGAAGGAUUGUGUGAAGAUGGCAUCUCAGCAUAAAGUACUCUGUAACCACUUAGUGUGGACACCAGGUAGGUUUUGAUGUGAGAGAGGAAGCCAGUCCCGUCAUCUCCUCCUCACCCACUCUUAAGAUAAGAUAACCUACGGGCCAACUGGGAGCCCAAGGCUGGUUAGGAGAUACCGCUAGAGACCCUAUGUAAUUGUGAUGAACUGAGAGAAUAUUAGGGUAGCACUGUAAUUCAUUAAUCAUAUGCUGUCUGCCUCUGUUCUUACCUUUCCCUUUCUGUCUUCUACAUCUCUCUCCCCACCUCAUCGUUGUUCCUCUUUUUUUUUAUAGUGCACACCAUACAGUUGGGAGAACAAGUAUUUGAUACACUGCCGAUUUUGCAGGUUUUCCUACUUACAAAGCAUGUAGUGGUCUGUAAUUUGUAUCAUAGGUACACUUCAACUGUGAGAGA
Molecule: long non-coding RNA, 641 nt
Organism: Oncorhynchus gorbuscha (pink salmon)
Lineage: Eukaryota; Metazoa; Chordata; Actinopteri; Salmoniformes; Salmonidae
Exons: 3
Source: RefSeq, a predicted model, not a curated record